UAGGGAAUCUUCGGCAAUGGACGAAAGUCUGACCGAGCAACGCCGCGUGAGUGAAGAAGGUUUUCGGAUCGUAAAACUCUGUUGUUAGAGAAGAACAAGGACGUUAGUAACUGAACGUCCCCUGACGGUAUCUAACCAGAAAGCCACGGCUAACUACGUGCCAGCAGCCGCGGUAAUACGUAGGUGGCAAGCGUUGUCCGGAUUUAUUGGGCGUAAAGCGAGCGCAGGCGGUUUCUUAAGUCUGAUGUGAAAGCCCCCGGCUCAACCGGGGAGGGUCAUUUGAAACUGGGAGACUUGAGUGCAGAAGAGGGGAGUGGAAUUCCAUGUGUAGCGGUGAAAUGCGUAUAUAUAUGGAGGAACACCAGUGGCGAAGGCGGCUCUCUGGUCUGUAACUGACGCUGAGGCUCGAAAGCGUGGGGAGCAAACAGG
This 429-nucleotide ribosomal RNA is filed under the name Gemmatimonadota bacterium. RNAcentral describes it as "Gemmatimonadetes bacterium partial 16S ribosomal RNA". It matches the Rfam family "Bacterial small subunit ribosomal RNA", at positions 355 to 776 of the family's 1533-position model. Lineage: Bacteria; Pseudomonadati; Gemmatimonadota. The record is from RNAcentral.